Molecule: long non-coding RNA, 520 nt
Organism: Rhododendron vialii
Lineage: Eukaryota; Viridiplantae; Streptophyta; Magnoliopsida; Ericales; Ericaceae
Exons: 2
Source: RefSeq, a predicted model, not a curated record
CUAGAGGCCUACAACUGAAGUUGAUUCUGCAAUGAUGCAAAGGAGGUCCACCACUUAUGGAGAUGUGUAUUUUUCAGCCGGAGUGGGAAGCUCAAGAGGUGGUGCUAUUGUCCAAAUUAGCCACUCACAAAGCUUAUCAAACAUGGCACCAACACAAGGUUCUCAGGUCCCCACAUCUGCACACAACUCAGGAAUGGCACUUGAGGGAUAUGCAGCCUUUUAGAAGUCAGUCGAAAAGUUCAUGGAGCUGGUAGUUUUUGUUUGGUAUUACUUUUGGAAUAUGCACCUGUUGGUUUUGCUUCUAAUUAAGUACUUUGGCUAGUUAAUUGCUAUCUAAGUUUGUGGACCAGUUUAUGGCUAUCUAAGUUUAUGGACCACUUCAUGGCAAUCUAAGUUUAUGGACCACUUUAUGGCUAUCUAAGUUUGUUCGCUGCCAACUUAUUUCUGGUGUGUCUUGAUCCUUUAAGAACACUUAUGUAACAGAUUAUGAUAUGAUAUGCAAAAUGUUGGCAUUUUUUGA